UGUGUAGAAAUUAACUCUGUUAGAGUUUCAGAAAAAUUUUGUUUUGUACAGUGUGAUAAUGUAAGGGGUUGCAUUAGUGAAGCCUAAUGAAGAAAAUGCAUUCUUUCACGUAGUAAUAGGAAUCUAAUAAGUCUCUUGCGUGUGAUGGGAGCUCUAGCAAUUUUAUUGAGAAUUAAAGCUUGAUUGACCUUCGUUAAGGUGAUUAACCCUUCUAAAAUUAAAAGCCAGAUGUGAAUUAUGCUGUCCAAUUUAAAUGCAAA
Non-coding RNA from Ochotona princeps (American pika), 260 nucleotides. NCBI's taxonomy places the organism in Eukaryota, Metazoa, Chordata, Mammalia, Lagomorpha, Ochotonidae. The record is from Rfam.